CCUACGGGAGGCUGCAGUGGGGAAUAUUGGGCAAUGGGCGCAAGCCUGACCCAGCAACGCCGCGUGAAGGAAGAAGGCUUUCGGGUUGUAAACUUCUUUUGACAGGGAAGAGUUGAAGACGGUACCUGUCGAAUAAGCCACGGCUAACUACGUGCCAGCAGCCGCGGUAAUACGUAGGUGGCAAGCGUUGUCCGGAUUUACUGGGUGUAAAGGGCGUGUAGCCGGGUUGACAAGUCAGAUGUGAAAUCCUGGGGCUUAACCGCAGAACUGCAUUUGAAACUGUUGAUCUUGAGGACUGUAGAGGCAGGCGGAAUUCCUAGUGUAGCGGUGAAAUGCGUAGAUAUUAGGAGGAACACCAGUGGUGAAGGCGGUCUGCUGGACAGCAACUGACGGUGAGGCGCGAAAGCGUGGGGAGCAAACAGGAUUAGAUACCCGUGUAGUC
RNAcentral lists this ribosomal RNA (442 nucleotides) under uncultured bacterium. Its description in RNAcentral is "partial 16S ribosomal RNA". It matches the Rfam family "Bacterial small subunit ribosomal RNA", at positions 338 to 795 of the family's 1533-position model. The record is from RNAcentral.